This 484-nucleotide ribosomal RNA is filed under the name uncultured bacterium. RNAcentral's name for it is "partial 16S ribosomal RNA". It matches the Rfam family "Bacterial small subunit ribosomal RNA", at positions 30 to 507 of the family's 1533-position model. The record is from RNAcentral.
AUUGAACGCUGGCGGCAGGCCUAACACAUGCAAGUCGAGCGGAUGAAGGGAGCUUGCUCCUGGAUUCAGCGGCGGACGGGUGAGCAAUGCCUAGGAAUCUGCCUGGUAGUGGGGGAUAACGUCCGGAAACGGGCGCUAAUACUGCAUACGUCCUGAGGGAGAAAGUGGGGGAUCUUCGGACCUCACGCUAUCAGAUGAGCCUAGGUCGGAUUAGCUAGUUGGUGGGGUAAAGGCCUACCAAGGCGACGAUCCGUAACUGGUCUGAGAGGAUGAUCAGUCACACUGGAACUGAGACACGGUCCAGACUCCUACGGGAGGCAGCAGUGGGGAAUAUUGGACAAUGGGCGAAAGCCUGAUCCAGCCAUGCCGCGUGUGUGAAGAAGGUCUUCGGAUUGUAAAGCACUUUAAGUUGGGAGGAAGGGCAGUAAGUUAAUACCUUGCUGUUUUGACGUUACCAACAGAAUAAGCACCGGCUAACUUCGUG